Cyanistes caeruleus (blue tit) is the source of this 1086-nucleotide non-coding RNA. NCBI's taxonomy places the organism in Eukaryota, Metazoa, Chordata, Aves, Passeriformes, Paridae. The record is from RefSeq and is a predicted model, not a curated record.
UUAACCUUAGUUAUCAUAAAAUAGAAACCUCUACUGAAAUGCUUAGUAGCAACAUAGAUGUGACUAAAAAUUAAUUUUUUUCACUCAGGUCUCAAGCAGAAGUAGGAUCAAAAGAUACAGGCUACUCAUAUGGGUUUUUUCCAGUAUUAAAUCUAAAGCACCUAUGUAGGCCCAGAGAGGCAACUUCCAACUCCAGUCUGGCCAGGAAACUGGUGGAAGCAGUCAGAAAUAGUGUAGGUUGGGGAAUUGGGUCAGGAAGCCUGCCCACUACUACAAAACAUGCUUCAACAUCCAACCAGGGUCAAUCUUGAAUGCUAAUUGUGUGGCACAAACCACAAGGGAAAUUAAAACUUUGGAGUUAAAAAAGUAUUUCAAAUGCUGGCACGAAGAGCUAGAGAACAAAAAUAGAAAUGAGGCAAGCUGGUGCUGGUAUCAGCUCAGAGCACUGGUAUAAAUACCAGGUAUUGGAGUUUUUAGUUCACAGAAGUCUCAUCCUGACCAGAAGAGUCAAAAAUAGCAGCUCCCACAAGACCAGAGGACAACUCUGCUGGAAGCCUUGUCACCCAGAAGCUUUAGAAAAUCCUCUUCAUACUGUGCAUUGAUGGUUAUGCUGGACAGCAAAACGUUGAUCGACUACUGCUGGAAAAGGAUCAGCUCACUCAAGGAGAGCACGUGUACGUGAGUUCUCUGUCUGGUACCACGGCUGACAAACCGACGUCAUUAUUAGAAGACAAAUAAUGCUGACUACACAGCAACCUGGCAAGCAUUUCAGGAGGCAGCUUGGGAUGUCUGGUCCAACAAACUCAUGAGAUAAGCAAAUUUUGGUGAAACAUUACACUUGGGCAGCUCAAAUAAGGGUUUGGGGCUAUUUUGUUUUUCAGAGAUCGAAGUUCUGAACUGUGAAGAGUAGGUCUUGGGAAGACUAAGUGAAAAGAGAAAAAAUCAUUGAGCUUUAUGAAUAAACAGCAACAUGUUCUCUAGCAAAUAGCUGGCCUAUUGAUUUCAGGCUUUUAUGUCAAACAGGAACACAGACAAUUAUAUAAAACAUGAAUUAACAGUAACAGAAUAAAACAGUUUACAGUCAGA